GCGUUUUUGAGUGAGUGUGGACGACGCUGGAUCUUCUCACCGGCUGCCAUGAUCGAACAAACAGCAGAAAUUAAGUUUGAAACUGUCGCUGGCGUCACCGUGGCCCGGUACACACUAAGCCGACAGCAGGUGGAGCAACGUCGGCCACUCGGUCAGGCGAAGUCUGUAUAUGUGGACACUCACUAUUUGCCCUCUCUACAGUUUCUCUUGUCUGUCCCCCACAAGCAGAGACCCACUGAUAGACCGCUGUUACCAGUUCUAGGGCUGACACAUCCGCACACGUCCACAUCACAAGUGUAUCCUGUAAAGAUCAAGGAGGAGCAUCACAACAGUUUCGUUGAAGUAGACAUUCUAGUAUAAGCUUGAUGAGUACACACCAGGUUUUGCAGCUAAUGCAUGCCAAAGGAGGAGCAGCUAGUUGCAAGAUGCAUCCUCUGCUGGACAGUUUAAAU
RNAcentral lists this long non-coding RNA (452 nucleotides) under Danio rerio (zebrafish). Its description in RNAcentral is "lncRNA si:dkeyp-92f10.1 (ENSDARG00000101617.2)". The record is from RNAcentral. Lineage: Eukaryota; Metazoa; Chordata; Actinopteri; Cypriniformes; Danionidae.